Molecule: ribosomal RNA, 409 nt
Filed under: bacterium
Lineage: Bacteria
Description: partial 16S ribosomal RNA
Rfam family: Bacterial small subunit ribosomal RNA
Source: RNAcentral
UGGGGAAUAUUGCACAAUGGGCGAAAGCCUGAUGCAGCGACGCCGCGUGAGGGAUGACGGCCUUCGGGUUGUAAACCUCUUUCAGUAGGGACGAAGCGCAAGUGACGGUACCUGCAGAAGAAGCACCGGCUAACUACGUGCCAGCAGCCGCGGUAAUACGUAGGGUGCGAGCGUUGUCCGGAAUUACUGGGCGUAAAGAGCUCGUAGGCGGUUUGUCACGUCGUCUGUGAAAUCCUAGGGCUUAACCCUGGACGUGCAGGCGAUACGGGCUGACUUGAGCACUACAGGGGAGACUGGAAUUUCUGGUGUAGCGGUGGAAUGCACAGAUAUCAGGAAGAACACCGAUGGCGAAGGCAGGUCUCUGGGUAGUAACUGACGCUGAGGAGCGAAAGCAUGGGUAGCGAACAGG